Molecule: ribosomal RNA, 458 nt
Filed under: uncultured bacterium
Lineage: Bacteria
Description: partial 16S ribosomal RNA
Rfam family: Bacterial small subunit ribosomal RNA
Source: RNAcentral
AACGAACGCUGGCGGCAUGCCUAACACAUGCAAGUCGAACGAGACCUUCGGGUCUAGUGGCGCACGGGUGCGUAACGCGUGGGAACCUGCCCUUAGGUUCGGAAUAACUCCCCGAAAGGGGUGCUAAUACCGGAUAAUGUCUUCGGACCAAAGAUUUAUCGCCUUUGGAUGGGCCCGCGUUGGAUUAGCUAGUUGGUAGGGUAAAAGCCUACCAAGGCGACGAUCCAUAGCUGGUCUGAGAGGAUGAUCAGCCACACUGGGACUGAGACACGGCCCAGACUCCUACGGGAGGCAGCAGUGGGGAAUAUUGGACAAUGGGCGAAAGCCUGAUCCAGCAAUGCCGCGUGAGGGAAGAAGGCCUUCGGGUUGUAAACCGCUUUUGUACGGAACGAAAAGGCUCUGGCUAAUACCUGGGGCUGAUGACGGUACCGUAAGAAUAAGCACCGGCUAACUACGUG